This 877-nucleotide ribosomal RNA is filed under the name uncultured bacterium. RNAcentral's name for it is "bacterial SSU rRNA". It matches the Rfam family "Bacterial small subunit ribosomal RNA", at positions 52 to 920 of the family's 1533-position model. The record is from RNAcentral.
CACAUGCAGUCGAGGGGCAGCGGGAGGAGUGCUUGCACUUCUUGCCGGCGACCGGCGCACGGGUGAGUAACACGUAUGCAACCUGCCUCCGUCAGGGGGACAACCCGGCGAAAGCCGGGCUAAUCCCGCGUAUAUUCCGUGAGGGCAUCCUUACGGAAGGAAAGGCUUCGGCCGGACGGGGAUGGGCAUGCGGCGCAUUAGGUAGUCGGGGGUGUAACGGACCACCGAGCCGACGAUGCGUAGGGGUUCUGAGAGGAAGGUCCCCCACACUGGUACUGAGACACGGACCAGACUCCUACGGGAGGCAGCAGUGAGGAAUAUUGGUCAAUGGUCGGAAGACUGAACCAGCCAAGCCGCGUGAAGGAAGAAGGUGCUCGGCAUCGUAAACUUCUUUUGUCAGGGAACAAAGGGCGGUACGUGUACCGCUGUGAGUGUACCUGAAGAAAAAGCAUCGGCUAACUCCGUGCCAGCAGCCGCGGUAAUACGGAGGAUGCGAGCGUUAUCCGGAUUUAUUGGGUUUAAAGGGUGCGCAGGCGGCGCGGUAAGUCAGCGGUAAAAGCCCGGGGCUCAACCCCGGCGAGCCGUUGAAACUGCCGUGCUAGAGUAAGGUCGAGGUAUGCGGAAUGCGCGGUGUAGCGGUGAAAUGCAUAGAUAUCGCGCAGAACUCCGAUUGCGAAGGCAGCAUACCGGUCCUUUACUGACGCUCAGGCACGAAAGCGUGGGGAUCAAACAGGCUUAGAUACCCUGGUAGUCCACGCAGUAAACGAUGAAUACUGGGUGUUCGGAAUGUAGAUUCUGAGUGCCGAAGCGAAAGCGUUAAGUAUUCCACCUGGGGAGUACGCCGGCAACGGUGAAACUCAAAGGAAUUGACGGGGGG